GUUCUUCAAACUAUAAAUUUCCUUGGAAGCGUUUCAGUAUCUAUUUAGUUAGCUACAUGCUUGUGACGUGUUAUUUUCUUAAAGCAACCUACGAGGAAAAUAUGGUAACCUUUAAUUAAUUCUCAUUAGGGGAUAGGGAUAUGUGAAAGAACGUCCGACAAGAGCGAAGGCCCCUGCACCCUCCUCCUGCCUCUGCCUUAUGAGCAAAUAGCUGCACUCCUCUGAGGCUCAAUUUCCUUAGCAGUAAAAAGGUGAGGAAACUGAGACAGACAUAAGAGAGAUUAAGAAAUUUGACUCAGAUCACACAGCUGGCCUGUUUUCCAUCAAUGACAACUUCAGAAAUGAACAGGCAAGUCUGCUG
Bos taurus (domestic cattle) is the source of this 361-nucleotide long non-coding RNA. The record is from Ensembl. Lineage: Eukaryota; Metazoa; Chordata; Mammalia; Artiodactyla; Bovidae.